RNAcentral lists this ribosomal RNA (497 nucleotides) under uncultured bacterium. RNAcentral describes it as "partial 16S ribosomal RNA". It matches the Rfam family "Bacterial small subunit ribosomal RNA", at positions 28 to 507 of the family's 1533-position model. The record is from RNAcentral.
GAUGAACGCUGGCGGCGUGCCUAAUACAUGCAAGUCGAGCGAACAGACGAGGAGCUUGCUCCUCUGACGUUAGCGGCGGACGGGUGAGUAACACGUGGAUAACCUACCUAUAAGCCUGGGAUAACUUCGGGAAACCGGAGCUAAUACCGGAUAAUAUAUUGAACCGCAUGGUUCAAUAGUGAAGGACGGUUUUGCUGUCACUUAUAGAUGGAUCCGCGCCGCAUUAGCUAGUUGGUAAGGUAACGGCUUACCAAGGCAACGAUGCGUAGCCGACCUGAGAGGGUGAUCGGCCACACUGGAACUGAGACACGGUCCAGACUCCUACGGGAGGCAGCAGUAGGGAAUCUUCCGCAAUGGGCGAAAGCUUGACGGAGCAACGCCGCGUGAGUGAUGAAGGUCUUCGGAUCGUAAAACUCUGUUAUUAGGGAAGAACAAAUGUGUAAGUAACUAUGCACGUCUUGACGGUACCUAAUCAGAAAGCCACGGCUAACUACGUG